Solenopsis invicta (red fire ant) is the source of this 805-nucleotide long non-coding RNA. RefSeq lists it as uncharacterized. The transcript has 3 exons. NCBI's taxonomy places the organism in Eukaryota, Metazoa, Arthropoda, Insecta, Hymenoptera, Formicidae. The record is from RefSeq and is a predicted model, not a curated record.
CUCUAGGCAUCUGCCAUUGUGAGUGGUUUGUGUGCUAUCGGGAUGUGCGCUAUCGGGACCCACCCUGAUUGACCCCCUGGGGGUCUAUCAUGGGGUCGAUCAUGAAACUUUUUCCCUAAGGCAGAAGCGUGAAAAGUGAAAAAUUUCUCCAUUUACUUCAGGCUGCGGUCCAUUUAGUACUUCUGAACGCUCUGAAUGCUACGCUCUAAAAGCUACGCUAUGAUCGGUCCACUAGUGUUACCAAUAUUACAAUCACUACACAAGUGGACCAGUUUGUAGCAGUUGUAGCACUUGAAUCAAUUGGCCGCGGUUUAUCCAAAUUUAAUAAUGGAAUUCCAGUUCCAAUUUUAGUAAAUGUUUAUAAUACAUUCAACGAUAUAAUAUCUUAUAUAUAUAUGAUGAUGAGAAAGAAGAAAUAGAAUUUUGCUUAAUGAGUUAUGAAUCGAAGAAAACGAAGAACGCCUAAAAUUGAAGGUUAUGUAGAAUGUAUUAUCCCAUCUCUCACUGCUAUGGAAUUCAAGAGUCAUUUCAGCGGUUUGAGCGCGAAUCGAAAUACGGCUCAAGUCGUAAUUUCCCGCCAAAUAUUGAAACGCUCCAGCUAACCCAUCUCCCGAGGUGAGGCAGUUAGAGCGAAUCGAGAGCGAAAACGAUGACGUAUUGAUGACGUAAUAAGAGCUAUUGGGAACGUUUCGAAGCGUCAAAUGGACCAGCCAUAUUAAUGCUACGAAUGCUCUGUAGUAGAGUCCUAUAUAAAGAGAGAAGCGACAUCAAACCCCCACUACAACCUUCAGUAUCCAAUUGAGUC